UACAGAGGUCUCAACCGUUGUUCGGAUUCAUUGGGCGUAAAGAGCUCGUAGGCGGUUUGUCGCGUCUGCUGUGAAAACCUAAGGCUCAACCUUGGGCUUGCAGUGGGUACGGGCAGACUAGAGUGCGGUAGGGGUGACUGGAAUUCCUGGUGUAGCGGUGGAAUGCGCAGAUAUCAGGAGGAACACCGAUGGCGAAGGCAGGUCACUGGGCCGCAACUGACGCUGAGGAGCGAAAGCAUGGGGAGCGAACAGG
This 253-nucleotide ribosomal RNA is filed under the name uncultured bacterium. RNAcentral's name for it is "partial 16S ribosomal RNA". It matches the Rfam family "Bacterial small subunit ribosomal RNA", at positions 524 to 776 of the family's 1533-position model. The record is from RNAcentral.